Molecule: microRNA precursor, 95 nt
Filed under: Athene cunicularia (burrowing owl)
Lineage: Eukaryota; Metazoa; Chordata; Aves; Strigiformes; Strigidae
Description: miRNA (ENSACUG00000006352.1)
Rfam family: mir-21 microRNA precursor family (bases 9-80)
Source: RNAcentral
UACCAUCCUGUCGGAUAGCUUAUCAGACUGAUGUUGACUGUUGGAUCUCAUGGCAACAACAGUCGGUAGGCUGUCUGACAUUUUGGUAUCUCUCA